CCUACGGGUGGCAGCAGUGAGGAAUAUUGGGCAAUGCACGAGAGAGUGACCCAGCCACGUAGCGUGAAUGAUGACGGCCCUAUGGGUGGUAAACUUCUUCUAUAUGGGAAUAAAACACAGUAUGCAUACCCUCAUGUAUUUACGAUAUGAAUAUGGAUCGGCUAACUUCGUUCCAGCAGACGGGGUGAGACGGAGGAUACGAGCGUUACCCGGUUUUGUUGGGUUUAAAGGGAGCGUAGGUGGAUUGGUAAGUCAGUUGUGAAAGUAUGGGGCUCAACCGUAAUAUUGCAGUUGAAACUAGCAGUCUUGAGUACAGUAGAGGAGGGCAGAAUUCGUGGUGUAGCGGUGAAAUGCUUAGAUAUCAGGAAGAACUCCGAUUGCGAAGGCAGCUCACUGGCCUGAAACUGACACUGAUGCUCGAAAGUGUGGGUAUCAAACAGGAUUAGAUACCCGGGUAGUC
RNAcentral lists this ribosomal RNA (460 nucleotides) under uncultured bacterium. RNAcentral's name for it is "partial 16S ribosomal RNA". It matches the Rfam family "Bacterial small subunit ribosomal RNA", at positions 338 to 795 of the family's 1533-position model. The record is from RNAcentral.